UGCACCCAUGAUGACAAUGUGCCAUUAACCAAGGAGUAUGACUUAUCCAAAUCUGUGUAUUUGAGAUCCACA
RNAcentral lists this small nucleolar RNA (72 nucleotides) under Pteropus vampyrus (large flying fox). RNAcentral describes it as "Small nucleolar RNA SNORD112 (ENSPVAG00000028908.1)". The record is from RNAcentral. Lineage: Eukaryota; Metazoa; Chordata; Mammalia; Chiroptera; Pteropodidae.